This 251-nucleotide ribosomal RNA is filed under the name uncultured prokaryote. Its description in RNAcentral is "partial 16S ribosomal RNA". It matches the Rfam family "Bacterial small subunit ribosomal RNA", at positions 525 to 775 of the family's 1533-position model. The record is from RNAcentral.
ACGGAGGGUGCAAGCGUUACUCGGAAUCACUGGGCGUAAAGGGUGCGUAGGCUGACUUUUAAGUCAGGCGUGAAAUCCAAUGGCUUAACCAUUGAACUGCGCUUGAAACUGGGAGUCUAGAGUUCAGAAGGGGCAGAUGGAAUUAGUGGUGUAGGGGUAAAAUCCGUAGAUAUCACUAGGAAUAUCAAAAGCGAAGGCGAUCUGCUGGGAUGAUACUGACGCUGAGGCACGAAAGCGUGGGGAGCAAACAG